AAGGAUAUGGCUUGAUAGAAACUUUUGCUGGAGCUGCUUUUUCUGAGGCAGAUGACACAGCAGUGGGCCGUGUAGGGCCACCCCUUCCUUGUUGCUACAUUAAGUAGCAUUUGCAAGAGCCUUAGCUUCCCCAAAGAAGUCGGAAUGACACCUUCGAGAAGAUUAUUUUCCAUGGUUAAAGAUUAAUUUCACUUGAAGAUGGAGCUGCAAAAUCUGAAACAGAGGAAAGCCAGUCACAAACAGUUCCUCACGAUGCCGAGGCUAUUCCAGUUGCUAAGCCAGUGAGCAUAAGUGCAACUAUUUCCACUGUCUUGGCAAGUGCUGGGAAUACUUUGGAGGGGUCUGUGGCAGAACUUGUGUUGAGUCCUCUUCGACUUGCAUUUGAGACAAAGAACUUGAAAAUCUUAGAAUCUGCUUUGGAUUGUCUUCAUUAUGAAGUGAACAGCAAAGUGGCUGAUUCAAUGCUUGUUAAUACCAUAUUGAUGCUGGUGUAUGUUACUAAGUUUUUUUGGUGGGAAGCUGGAUACUGGAGCACAAUGGAUAUUGCACAUGAUCGAGCUGGUUUUUAUAUUUGCUGGGGAUGCCUUGUAUGGGUGCCUUCUAUAUAUACUUCUCCUGACAUGUACCUGGUCAAUCAUCCCGUACACCUUGGAACUCAG
Humulus lupulus (European hop) is the source of this 659-nucleotide long non-coding RNA. RefSeq lists it as uncharacterized. NCBI's taxonomy places the organism in Eukaryota, Viridiplantae, Streptophyta, Magnoliopsida, Rosales, Cannabaceae. The transcript is spliced from 5 exons. The record is from RefSeq and is a predicted model, not a curated record.